Molecule: long non-coding RNA, 898 nt
Organism: Hippocampus comes (tiger tail seahorse)
Lineage: Eukaryota; Metazoa; Chordata; Actinopteri; Syngnathiformes; Syngnathidae
Exons: 3
Source: RefSeq, a predicted model, not a curated record
CUUAGUCGUCAUUUCUUUUUUUUUUGUCCGCAAAAUGAGAAGAUAAGGACUGAUCCAUUGUGUGACAACAAGUUAAGGGCAGAAAGUCUCGGAGGUGGCUAUUUGCAGUGAGAGUCUCCUUUGUUUAUGAGGAUAAUUACCGUCAUUUUUUUUUUUUUUUUUAACUUAUGUAAGGACGUUCCACAGAGCAGCUUAAACACUUAAAUCUCUUCAGGGACCUUUUAGGGGUCUGUCACUCUGAGUUAGUUACUUUCUCAAAUUCCCAUGAAGCACUAACUUCUGGCCGUAAAUAUUUCCAUAAUGUCUUUUUGAGACACCGUCUUGGCAGUGACAAGCUUUUUUUUCUACAGGCAUCCCGAGACUACCAAUUACAAGCACGAUGAGGAUAUUUAGCAGAAGCCCCCGGUCUGAAAGUCGCUUUUAAGUUAAGCGGGCGGCCGCUCAGACAAUCAAGUAAGUUAGGGGAGCCUGCGGCCCUGGGAAUUUUUUCCGCAGUUGAAACAAGAAGGAAGGGGGCCCAAAAAAAAAAAAAAAAAAAAAAAAGUCUGGGCAGGCUGUUGAUGAAGCGACUGUAGUUAUACAGAAGCUGCAGUGGUUUUAGUCCCACAAUUUACAUUGGUUAAGUGACCUUGAGGUGUGCCAGGAAACAAACGCUGGAUUGUGGUGUAUUUUAAUGUAUUUAUUUUAUUUAUUUUUUUUGGGGGUGGGUCAUCAGUUUAUUAUUUUGAAAAGUGUGUAUCAAUGUCAAAAGGAUUUGAUGGACGAGAGGAUACGUGACAAGAUGAUGGAGGAAAGACGAAUGGAAAGUCGCAAAGUGGAUCGAUGUCCAAAUUUGAAUAUAAAAUGGAUGACGGACGGAUGAUGUAAGCGAGGCGAAAUUACAAACGGAAGAGUUGAC